CGGAGUAGCUCAGUGGUAGAGCAGCUGAUUUGUAAUCAGCGGGUCGGGGGUUCAAAUCCCUUCUCCGGC
RNAcentral lists this transfer RNA (69 nucleotides) under bovine gut metagenome. It matches the Rfam family "tRNA". From Rfam's summary of the family: Transfer RNA (tRNA) molecules are approximately 80 nucleotides in length. Their secondary structure includes four short double-helical elements and three loops (D, anti-codon, and T loops). Further hydrogen bonds mediate the characteristic L-shaped molecular structure. tRNAs have two regions of fundamental functional importance: the anti-codon, which is responsible for specific mRNA codon recognition, and the 3' end, to which the tRNAs corresponding amino acid is attached (by aminoacyl-tRNA synthetases). tRNAs cope with the degeneracy of the genetic code in two manners: having more than one tRNA (with a specific anti-codon) for a particular amino acid; and 'wobble' base-pairing, i.e. permitting non-standard base-pairing at the 3rd anti-codon position. The record is from RNAcentral.